AAGGAUCAUCUGUCUUGUGUUUUUCUUGAUAUUGAUCAGUUCCUUUUUUGUUUACAUAUCUGACAUUAAUGUAUUUUCAACAGUCUUCUAAACUAUAUUGAGGUUGAUGACCUUAAAAUUCGUGCUGUCAUCUGUCUGGAUGUUGGUGGCUUUCUAACUUGGUCAUUAUUACUUGUUCUGGUGUUCUUGCACUGAAUUGAACUCCCAACUUGUUAGUUUAAACAUGUUUUGGGUUAGGAUUAGUAAAUGGAACUUUGUGCUGUAGUAUUUGGCUCUGCUUUGAGCAUAUUGGAGCAAAA
RNAcentral lists this long non-coding RNA (299 nucleotides) under Solanum tuberosum (potato). RNAcentral describes it as "long non-coding RNA (STUB_LNC007830)". The record is from RNAcentral. Lineage: Eukaryota; Viridiplantae; Streptophyta; Magnoliopsida; Solanales; Solanaceae.